RNAcentral lists this ribosomal RNA (273 nucleotides) under uncultured bacterium. RNAcentral describes it as "partial 16S ribosomal RNA". It matches the Rfam family "Bacterial small subunit ribosomal RNA", at positions 85 to 354 of the family's 1533-position model. The record is from RNAcentral.
CCGCCGGCGACCGGCGCACGGGUGAGUAACACGUAUGCAACCUGGCCGUGACAGAUGGAUAACCGGGAGAAAUCCCGCCUAAUACAACAUAAUGCCGGGAGGGGACAUCCCCUGCCGGCUAAAGGGGGCGACCCCGGUCACGGAUGGGCAUGCGGCGCAUUAGGUAGUUGGUGGGGCAACGGCCCACCAAGCCGACGAUGCGUAGGGGUUCUGAGAGGAAGGUCCCCCACAUUGGAACUGAGACACGGUCCAAACUCCUACGGAAGGCAGCAG